CCUACGGGAGGCAGCAGUAGGGAAUCUUUCACAAUGGACGAAAGCCUGAUGGAGCAACGCCGCGUGCAGGAUGAAGGCCUUCGGGUUGUAAACUGCUUUUAUAAGCGAGAAAUAUGAUGGUAACUUAUGAAUAAGGAUCGGCUAACUACGUGCCAGCAGCCGCGGUCAUACGUAGGAUCCGAGCAUUAUCCGGAGUGACUGGGUGUAAAGAGUUGCGUAGGUGGCAUAAUAAGUAGCUAGUGAAAUCUGGUGGCUCAACCAUUCAGACUAUUAGCUAAACUGUUAAGCUCGAGACCGUUAGGGGUAACUGGAAUUUCUAGUGUAGGAGUGAAAUCCGUAGAUAUUAGAAGGAACACCAAUAGCGUAGGCAGGUUGCUGGGACGGUUCUGACACUAAGGCACGAAAGCGUAGGGAGCAAACGGGAUUAGAUACCCCAGUAGUC
Molecule: ribosomal RNA, 442 nt
Filed under: uncultured bacterium
Lineage: Bacteria
Description: partial 16S ribosomal RNA
Rfam family: Bacterial small subunit ribosomal RNA
Source: RNAcentral